ACCCUGGGAUGCCAUUACCAUCUUACUGGGCAGCAUUGGAUGUUUUCUGUGUUUCUAAUACUGCCUGGUAAUGAUGAUUAUGGUGUCUCGCAC
This 93-nucleotide microRNA precursor is filed under the name Chrysemys picta bellii (western painted turtle). RNAcentral describes it as "miRNA (ENSCPBG00000022191.1)". The stretch from base 14 to 81 matches the Rfam family "mir-8/mir-141/mir-200 microRNA precursor family". Rfam says of the family: The bounds of the precursors are predicted based on conservation and base pairing and are not generally known. The record is from RNAcentral. RNAcentral also lists the same sequence under 4 other names. Lineage: Eukaryota; Metazoa; Chordata; Testudines; Emydidae.